This 495-nucleotide ribosomal RNA is filed under the name uncultured bacterium. RNAcentral describes it as "partial 16S ribosomal RNA". It matches the Rfam family "Bacterial small subunit ribosomal RNA", at positions 28 to 507 of the family's 1533-position model. The record is from RNAcentral.
GACGAACGCUGGCGGCGUGCCUAAUACAUGCAAGUAGAACGCUGAAGGAGGAGCUUGCUUCUCUGGAUGAGUUGCGAACGGGUGAGUAACGCGUAGGUAACCUGCCUGGUAGCGGGGGAUAACUAUUGGAAACGAUAGCUAAUACCGCAUAAGAGUAGAUGUUGCAUGACAUUUGCUUAAAAGGUGCAAUUGCAUCACUACCAGAUGGACCUGCGUUGUAUUAGCUAGUUGGUGGGGUAACGGCUCACCAAGGCGACGAUACAUAGCCGACCUGAGAGGGGGGUCGGCCACACUGGGACUGAGACACGGCCCAGACUCCUACGGGAGGCAGCAGUAGGGAAUCUUCGGCAAUGGACGGAAGUCUGACCGAGCAACGCCGCGGGAGUGAAGAAGGUUUUCGGAUCGUAAAGCUCUGUUGUAAGAGAAGAACGAGUGUGAGAGUGGAAAGUUCACACUGUGACGGUAUCUUACCAGAAAGGGACGGCUAACUACGUG